AGAGUUUGAUCAUGGCUCAGGAUGAACGCUAGCUACAGGCUUAACACAUGCAAGUCGAGGGGAAACGACAUCGAAAGCUUGCUUUUGAUGGGCGUCGACCGGCGCACGGGUGAGUAACGCGUAUCCAACCUGCCCACCACUUGGGGAUAACCUUGCGAAAGUAGGACUAAUACCCAAUGACGUCUCUAGAAGACAUCUGAAAGAGAUUAAAGAUUUAUCGGUGAUGGAUGGGGAUGCGUCUGAUUAGCUUGUUGGCGGGGUAACGGCCACCAAGGCUACGAUCAGUAGGGGUUCUGGAGAGGAAGGUCCCCCACAUUGGAACUGAGACACGGUCCAAACUCCAACGGGAGCA
Molecule: ribosomal RNA, 352 nt
Filed under: uncultured bacterium
Lineage: Bacteria
Description: bacterial SSU rRNA
Rfam family: Bacterial small subunit ribosomal RNA
Source: RNAcentral